Molecule: ribosomal RNA, 492 nt
Filed under: uncultured Rothia sp.
Lineage: Bacteria; Bacillati; Actinomycetota; Actinomycetes; Micrococcales; Micrococcaceae
Description: bacterial SSU rRNA
Rfam family: Bacterial small subunit ribosomal RNA
Source: RNAcentral
AGAGUUUGAUCCUGGCUCAGGACGAACGCUGGCGGCGUGCUUAACACAUGCAAGUCGAACGAUGAAGCCUAGCUUGCUAGGUGGAUUAGUGGCGAACGGGUGAGUAAUACGUGAGUAACCUACCUUUAACUCUGGGAUAAGCCUGGGAAACUGGGUCUAAUACCGGAUACGACCAAUCUCCGCAUGGGGUGUUGGUGGAAAGCGUUAUGUAGUGGUUAUAGAUGGGCUCACGGCCUAUCAGCUUGUUGGUGAGGUAACGGCUCACCAAGGCGACGACGGGUAGCCGGCCUGAGAGGGUGACCGGCCGACACUGGGACUGAGACACGGCCCAGACUCCUACGGGAGGCAGCAGUGGGGAAUAUUGCACAAUGGGCGCAAGCCUGAUGCAGCGACGCCGCGUGAGGGAUGACGGCCUUCGGGUUGUAAACCUCUGUUAGCAGGGAAGAAGAGAAAUUGACGGUACCUGCAGAGAAAGCGCCGGCUAACUACGUG